CAGCCGCCGCGGUAAUACGUAGGGUGCAAGCGUUAAUCGGAAUUACUGGGCGUAAAGCGUGCGCAGGCGGUUCGCUAAGACAGAUGUGAAAUCCCCGGGCUUAACCUGGGAACUGCAUUUGUGACUGGCGGGCUAGAGUAUGGCGGAGGGGGGUAGAAUUCCACGUGUAGCAGUGAAAUGCGUAGAGAUCUGGAGGAAUACCGGUGGCGAAGGCGGCCCCCUGGACAAAGACUGACGCUCAGGUGCGAAAGCGUGGGGAGCAAACAGGAUUAGAUACCCGCGUAGUCCCUGUCUCUUAUAC
RNAcentral lists this ribosomal RNA (301 nucleotides) under uncultured bacterium. RNAcentral describes it as "partial 16S ribosomal RNA". It matches the Rfam family "Bacterial small subunit ribosomal RNA", at positions 509 to 807 of the family's 1533-position model. The record is from RNAcentral.